CAACCCUCAAGCGCUGUAGUGCUUGGUGUUGGGGCUUCUGCUGGUGACAGCAGGCCCUGAAAGCUAGUGGCGGGCUCGCCGUGACCCUGAGCGUAGUAAAUUACAUCGCUUCUGCGGCUCGCGGUGGGUUUCCAGCCGUGAAAACCCUUAAUUUUCACAA
This 160-nucleotide unclassified non-coding RNA is filed under the name uncultured Conlarium. RNAcentral describes it as "sequence contains ITS2". Lineage: Eukaryota; Fungi; Ascomycota; Sordariomycetes. The record is from RNAcentral.